Molecule: long non-coding RNA, 1782 nt
Filed under: Equus caballus (horse)
Lineage: Eukaryota; Metazoa; Chordata; Mammalia; Perissodactyla; Equidae
Description: lncRNA (ENSECAG00000052209.1)
Source: RNAcentral
AAACUGGUUAAUCAAAACCAAAUAGUUAAAAAGUGUGUAAAUUCAGUGCAUUGCCAAUUUAGCAAACUGGGUCAGCAAACCAUCUUGUUUCCUAGCCCUGAUUGGGUUCUUUCAGAUCUUAUUUUGAAAAUAAACUCAUAGUUCUUAUCAUUUGUUUUACAGAUAAGGAUACUAAAACGAGUAGUAAUUGUGAGUUAACUAAGGUCAUAGAGACACUUGACAAGAAUCCAAGAUUUCUAACAUCUGGUCUUAAUUUUUAAUUUUGUUAGAGGAUUCUAAUUUUAAAUGUCCUUUCCUAUAAAAACUAAAGGUUAUACUCCUCUGGUGGUCCAAACCACACUGUCUGCCUCAUCACUUUUUUCAUCAACUUUGUUGUCAAGAUACAGCGGAAAGACCAUUGCUCACAAGUGAGAAAAUUUCCACGUUGUUGAGAUUCUGUUGUUAACUAGUAGUUUUCUAUAGGUUAGUGUGAUGGUUAUCUACCUAUCAACCCUGCUGGAGCAGAAGUCUGCAUACUAAAUUCCACAGACUCUUUUGGCAGUAAAGCAUUAGAGAGAAAAGCAUAAGGGAAGUAUUAGAGGGAAAUGAGAAGGUGCAGAGAGGAGAGAAGAGACUUCUUUUCAGUUUUUGAUAGUGUGUUCCAGCAAGAGAAGACAGUUGCAGCUUUGUGAUCUGCCUUCUGUGGGACUUCUAGCACCAGCUUUGCUGCAGUUUCUCAGAGAGACAAAGACCAGGCAAUUAAAUCUCCUCAGUGGUUCCAAGCUCCAGCUUCAUAUCCCCGUCCCCCCAGUCAAGCUGUCUAAGCACCAACUGUGUAAAGGAUGAGUCUCCAAGCUCUUACUCUGUCUUCUACCAGCACUAAAGCUGUGUGUUGAGACUUCUCUGCUGGACUCUUGGACUUCCACAAAGAUGGCAAAAAUUCUCCAACAAAAAACACAAAAAGGCCUCCCUGCCAAGAUUGCAUCUAAGGGAGAAGCCCUGAGCUAACAUCUGUUACUGCUGAUCAGUAGAGCAGGUCCACACCCAGGAUCCAAACCCCUGAAUCUGGGGCUGCCAAAGCAGAGCACGCAGAACUUUAAAUACUCAGCCAGAAGAUCUGCCCUGAGUUUGAGACUAGAAGUGGACAAAACUGACCAGGUGCCCUGCUAAAUAAAAGCAAUUUGACAGAUGGCACAAGUGCGUAGUCCUCCCUGAUCCGUGGUUUCAAUUUCCAUGGUUUCAGUUACUCCUGAUCAACUGCAGUCCGAAAAUAUUAAAUGGAAAAUUUCAAAAAUAAACAACUCAUAAGUCUUAAAUUACCUGCUGUUCUGAGUAGCAUGAUGAAAUCUUGAGCCAUCCCACUCCAUUCCUCCUGGGAUGAGAAUCAUCUCUUCAUUUAGUGUAUCCAUGCUGUAUAUGCUACCUGCCUGUUAGCCCCUUAGUGGCCAUUGUGAUUAUCAGAUCGACUGUCGCAAUGUCUCAAUGUUUGUGUUCAAGUAACCCUUAUUUUACUUAAUAAUGGCCCCAAAGAGCAAGAGUAGUGAUGUUGGCAAUUUGGGUAUGCGAAAGAGAAGAUAUAAAGUGCUUCCUUUAAGUGAAAACGUGAAAGUUCUCAAAAAGGAAAAACAAAGCCGUAUGCUAAGGCUUUCAGCAUCCAAGCUGACUUUUAUUACAGUAUAUUAUAAUAAUUGCUCUAUUUUAUUAUCAGUUAUUGUUGUUAAUCUCUUACUGUGUGUAAAUUAUAAAUUAAACUUUAUCAUAGGUAUGUAUGUGGUGGGAAAAACAUAGUAUGUAUAUGGUUUG